GUCCCCUUCUCCCUCCAUCACCGACCCUCUGCCAGGCCAGGGGAGAAGGACACUGACAGGCGCCCCGCACCGUGGGGUGGCGGUGAAAUAAGGGGCAGGCUGCUCAGAAAAGGAUCAGAAUGGACUCCCUCCCCCUCCGUCGCUGCGCUCGCUGCCCGCGCCUCCCCCCUCUCGGCCGCGCCGCGCACGGAUGGCAGAGCCGCAGAGCUUUGGGUCACCCUCACACCAGAGACCUUAGAGGUCUUUCUUUUCAUGCUCUGAUGCCAUCCAAGCAGACCAACAUUAACUGAAGCAAGUCAGAAAUGCAGAUUCCCAGGUCCCACUAAUUACCUGCUAGAUUACAGCCUGAAUCUAAGGAGGACCACACAGCCCCCAGCCCCCAGAAGAUUCCUAUGCACAUCAAAGGUGAAGAAGCUCUGAGAGAAAUUGUGCUAUGCAACUUGCUCUUGUAGUAAUAGCAGUGUCAACAUGGAGUGGUUAUGUUUCUUGUUCA
Long non-coding RNA from Erinaceus europaeus (western European hedgehog), 493 nucleotides. RefSeq lists it as uncharacterized. The record is from RefSeq and is a predicted model, not a curated record. NCBI's taxonomy places the organism in Eukaryota, Metazoa, Chordata, Mammalia, Eulipotyphla, Erinaceidae. The transcript has 3 exons.